CCGUGGGGGCCUCGCGGCCCCUACCGAGGAUAGCACCCUUUGUCUUUUUAAGCACCCACUGUUUCCUCGGCGGGACGCCCGCCAACGGGGACCACCAAAACCUUAACCCGUCAGUAUUAGAAGUAACCGUACCAAAAACAAAAAAUCA
This 148-nucleotide unclassified non-coding RNA is filed under the name soil metagenome. Its description in RNAcentral is "partial internal transcribed spacer 1". The record is from RNAcentral.